GAUGAACGCUAGCGGCAGGCUUAACACAUGCAAGUCGAGGGGCAUCGAGAGUAGCAAUACUUGUCGGCGACCGGCGCAAGGGUGCGUAACACGUGAGCAACAUACCCGUUUCAGGAGGAUAACCGGAGGAAACUCUGCCUAAUACUCCAUGACAUCAUCAAACGGCAUCGUUUGAUGAUUAAAGAUUUAUCGGAAACGGCUUGGCUCGCGGGACAUUAGCUCGUUGGUGAGGUAACGGCUCACCAAGGCGACGAUGUCUAGGGGUUCUGAGAGGAAGGUCCCCCACACUGGAACUGAGACACGGUCCAGACUCCUACGGGAGGCAGCAGUGAGGAAUAUUGGACAAUGGUCGGAAGACUGAUCCAGCCAUGCCGCGUGAAGGUUCUGUCCUAUGGAUAUUAAACUUCUUUUGUAUGGGAGCAAUAAGGUGCACGUGUGCACCGAUGAGAGUAUCAUACGAUAAGCAUCGCUAACUCCG
RNAcentral lists this ribosomal RNA (478 nucleotides) under uncultured bacterium. RNAcentral's name for it is "bacterial SSU rRNA". It matches the Rfam family "Bacterial small subunit ribosomal RNA", at positions 28 to 505 of the family's 1533-position model. The record is from RNAcentral.